GACGAACGCUGGCGGCGUGCCUAAUACAUGCAAGUUGAGCGAUGAAGAUUGGUGCUUGCACCAAUUUGAAGAGCAGCGAACGGGUGAGUAACGCGUGGGGAAUCUGCCUUUGAGCGGGGGACAACAUUUGGAAACGAAUGCUAAUACCGCAUAACAACUUUAAACAUAAGUUUUAAGUUUGAAAGAUGCAAUUGCAUCACUCAAAGAUGAUCCCGCGUUGUAUUAGCUAGUUGGUGAGGUAAAGGCUCACCAAGGCGAUGAUACAUAGCCGACCUGAGAGGGUGGUCGGGCACAUUGGGACGGGGACAAGGCCCAAGAUCCUACGGGAGGCAGCAGGAGGGAAUCUUCGGCAAUGGAGGGAAGUCUGAACGAGCAACGCCGCGGGAGUGAAGAAGGGUGUCGGAUCGUAAAACUCGGUUGGUAGAGAAGAACGUUGGUGAGAGUGGAAAGCGCAUCAAGUGACGGUAACUACCCAGAAAGGGACGGCUAACUACGUG
Molecule: ribosomal RNA, 497 nt
Filed under: uncultured bacterium
Lineage: Bacteria
Description: partial 16S ribosomal RNA
Rfam family: Bacterial small subunit ribosomal RNA
Source: RNAcentral